AUGCGGGACCCUACGGGUGCCGCGUUCGGAAUGAGUACGAUUCGAACCACCUAACGAGGAACGUUCGGAGGGCAAGUCUGGUGCCAGCAGCCGCGGUAAUUCCAGCUCCAAUAGCGUACGUUAAAGUUGCUGCAGUUAAAAAGCUCGUAGUUGAACGUUCGGGUUCCGCGGGACGGGGCCGCCCCGCGAGGGACGGCGCCGCCCCGGGGCUCGUGAUAUCUUAUCUCGCCGCCCGUCGCGAGGCGGACGGAGGGAUGGAUGAGGUUACCUGGAAAAAAUCGGGGCGAUCUAGGCGGGCGAACCUCGCCAACGAACGAUCGGACAUGGGAUAACGGAAGAGGGCGUCGGCUCGACUUCGUCGGUUCCUCGGGGCCGAGGCACGUACGGUGAAUAGGGACGGUCGGGGCCGCCCGUACCGGGUCGUGAGAGGUGAAAUUCUAGGAUCGACCCGAGACGAACUGCCGCGAAAGCAUUCGGCAAGGACGCUUUCAUUAAUCAAGAACGAAAGUCGGGGGAUCGAAGACGAUCAGAUACCGUCGUAGUCCCGACCGUAAACGAU
Molecule: ribosomal RNA, 559 nt
Filed under: uncultured eukaryote
Lineage: Eukaryota
Description: bacterial SSU rRNA
Rfam family: Eukaryotic small subunit ribosomal RNA
Source: RNAcentral